RNAcentral lists this ribosomal RNA (497 nucleotides) under uncultured bacterium. RNAcentral's name for it is "partial 16S ribosomal RNA". It matches the Rfam family "Bacterial small subunit ribosomal RNA", at positions 28 to 507 of the family's 1533-position model. The record is from RNAcentral.
GAUGAACGCUGGCGGCGUGCCUAAUACAUGCAAGUCGAGCGAACAGACGAGGAGCUUGCUCCUUUGACGUUAGCGGCGGACGGGUGAGUAACAUGUAGGUAACCUACCUAUAAGACUGGGAUAACUUCGGGAAACCGGAGCUAAUACCGGAUAAUAUUUCGAACCGCAUGGUUCGAUAGUGAAAGAUGGCUUUGCUAUCACUUAUAGAUGGACCUGCGCCGUAUUAGCUAGUUGGUAAGGUAACGGCUUACCAAGGCAACGAUACGUAGCCGACCUGAGAGGGUGAUCGGCCACACUGGAACUGAGACACGGUCCAGACUCCUACGGGAGGCAGCAGUAGGGAAUCUUCGGCAAUGGGCGCAAGCCUGACGGAGCAACGCCGCGUGAGUGAUGAAGGUCUUCGGAUCGUAAAACUCUGUUAUUAGGGAAGAACAAACGUGUAAGUAUACGUGCACGUCUUGACGGUACCUAAUCAGAAAGCCACGGCUAACUACGUG